This 347-nucleotide ribosomal RNA is filed under the name uncultured bacterium. RNAcentral's name for it is "bacterial SSU rRNA". It matches the Rfam family "Bacterial small subunit ribosomal RNA", at positions 917 to 1288 of the family's 1533-position model. The record is from RNAcentral.
GGGCCCGCACAAGCGGUGGAGUAUGUGGUUUAAUUCGAUGCAACGCGAAGAACCUUACCAGGGUUUGACAUCCUGCGAAUUUCUGGGAAACCGGAAAGUGCCUUCGGGAGCGCAGUGACAGGUGGUGCAUGGCUGUCGUCAGCUCGUGUCGUGAGAUGUUGGUUAAGUCCCGCAACGAGCGCAACCCACGUCUUUAGUUGCCAGCAUUUAGUUGGGCACUCUAGAGAGACCGCCGGUGAUAAACCGGAGGAAGGUGUGGAUGACGUCAAGUCAUCAUGCCCCUUACAUCCUGGGCUACACACGUACUACAAUGGUAGUGACAAUGGGUUAAUCCCAAAAAGCUAUCU